Mastomys coucha (southern multimammate mouse) is the source of this 494-nucleotide long non-coding RNA. RefSeq lists it as uncharacterized. The record is from RefSeq and is a predicted model, not a curated record. NCBI's taxonomy places the organism in Eukaryota, Metazoa, Chordata, Mammalia, Rodentia, Muridae. The transcript has 2 exons.
UUUGCCACCAAGCCUGAUGACCUGAAUUCUGUCCAGGGCCCACAAAAUAGUGGAAGGAGAAAACACUCUCGCAAGUGGUCCUCUGGCCUCCUCCAUAACAGCUCUGCGGCACACUUCGGUGCACACACACGCAUGUGGACACACACAGCUGGAGAUGUGAACUUCCAUCUGCUUCCGCCGCUGGCACAAUGUCUGCCGCCGCCACCGUGUCUGCUGCCGCCCCCGUGUAUGCCACCACCGUGUAUGCCGCCGCCACCAUGUAUGCCGCCACUACCAUGUCUGCCACCACCAUGUCUACUGCCGCCGCCACCAUGUCUGCUGCCCCCACCAUGUCUGCCGCCGCCACCAUGUCUGCCGCCGCCACCAUGUAUGCCACCACCAUGUCUGCCGCUGCCACCGUGUCUGCAGCCUGGUGCCACAGUUCCCUGCCACGAUGGACUUUUCCCCUUCAGGAACCAUAUGUUCAAAUAAAUCUUUUCCUUGUGUGAGUAUCA